RNAcentral lists this non-coding RNA (45 nucleotides) under Schistosoma mansoni. The record is from RNAcentral. Lineage: Eukaryota; Metazoa; Platyhelminthes; Trematoda; Strigeidida; Schistosomatidae.
AUCCAGCUGAUGAGUCCCAAAUAGGACGAAACGUGCAUCUUGAAU